UAGAAAGUGGUGUAGUGGAUGCACAAAGAGUCUUGGUCUCUUUAGGUUAGGUUCGAGUCCUUUCUUUCUAA
RNAcentral lists this transfer RNA (71 nucleotides) under Laimosemion gransabanae. RNAcentral's name for it is "tRNA-Gln". It matches the Rfam family "tRNA". Rfam says of the family: Transfer RNA (tRNA) molecules are approximately 80 nucleotides in length. The record is from RNAcentral. Lineage: Eukaryota; Metazoa; Chordata; Actinopteri; Cyprinodontiformes; Rivulidae.